Molecule: long non-coding RNA, 366 nt
Filed under: Mytilus galloprovincialis (Mediterranean mussel)
Lineage: Eukaryota; Metazoa; Mollusca; Bivalvia; Mytilida; Mytilidae
Source: RNAcentral
GGGGGGGGGGGUUCCAUCAUAAUUUUUAUUUUACUGGGGGGGGGGUGUCACACAAUUAUAGUUUUUAUGUCUGUCAAGUAUAUAAAUUGUUAACGAUAUUAAAGUAAGCGUGCAAUCUCAGAUAAUUUCUGUCAUUUAAAAAUCUUUGAUAGUGUACAGCACCAGCAGAAUGACCAAUCUCUCAAGGGUAGUGUAUCUAAUCACUUAUUUGUUAUGGUUCAUUAUCCAUAGGAUGUGAAAAUUUACAACCAGACUUCUCUUAAAAACUGUAUAAAACAUGAAAAGUUUCUAAACAUGCAGUGGAACAUGUUUAUUUCAACUUUCUAAAGUGUUAAAAUCAUGUUGAUGAUAUUUUUUACGAUAGAC